AGCGAACGUUUGCGGCGGGCCUAACACAUGCAAGUCGAGGGGCAGCAGGGUGUAGCAAUACAUCGCUGGCGACCGGCGCACGGGUGCGUAACACGUAUGCAACCUACCUUUAACUGGGGAAUAGCCCUCCGAAAGGAGGAUUAACACCGCAUAACAUCACGAGACGGCAUCGCCUUGUGAUCAAACCUCCGGGGGUUAAAGAUGGGCAUGCGUCCGAUUAGCUAGUUGGCGGGGUAACGGCCCACCAAGGCGACGAUCGGUAGGGGGUCUGAGAGGAUGAUCCCCCANACUGGUACUGAGACACGGACCAGACUCCUACGGGAGGCAGCAGUAAGGAAUAUUGGACAAUGGUCGCAAGACUGAUCCAGCCAUGCCGCGUGCAGGAUGAACGAUCUAUGAUCUGUAAACUGCUUUUGUUCGGGAAUAAACCCCUUCACGUGUGGAGGGCUGAAUGUACCGAAAGAUAAGGGUCGGCUAACUUCGUGCCAGCAGCCGCGGUAAAG
Molecule: ribosomal RNA, 503 nt
Filed under: uncultured bacterium
Lineage: Bacteria
Description: bacterial SSU rRNA
Rfam family: Bacterial small subunit ribosomal RNA
Source: RNAcentral